RNAcentral lists this unclassified non-coding RNA (4289 nucleotides) under Hevea brasiliensis (rubber tree). Lineage: Eukaryota; Viridiplantae; Streptophyta; Magnoliopsida; Malpighiales; Euphorbiaceae. The record is from RNAcentral.
CAAAUCACCACCGCACCACCUGUUCACAAAUGCGCACGUUAGCUGUCUCUCCACAAUCAUCACCACCCUCCAAUUCCAUGCAUUUAAUAUUUAUAUUAUUAUAUUAUAUUAUUUAUUAUUUUGUUCCUCUAAUGCUCCCUCUCUAUCCGUAGCUUAACCUACGCUACGUUUCAGGCCUCACUGUCCUCUACUCUGUGCCUUCUCAUUACUGUCCUCUGCCUUUAAAUGGAUCUGCGUGCCCUCUGCAAAUUUUCCUUCUAAUAGACUCCAUUUAGUCCCGUUUCGUUUCCGAUCUUAUGUCAUUUCCGAAACGUUUCGCUUCUUUGAGUUCCGAUCGGCUCCUGCAUUUCCUCUCUGACCUCAACUACGCCGAAUCGGAGCUCCUGCAGCUCUCCUUGUGUGAUCAGUGCUUGUUGUCUCGUGCAUUUGCGUGAUCGAUGCUUUGUUAGUUAACGAGAUGAAUCCUCUCUGCUGCAUUGCUCCGGUUUCCAUCGAUCGGGAUCGGGCUAACCCAGUGGUGGAGAAAUCUGAUAACCAGUCUCAGUUAGGUCUUGAAGUUGCUGAUAAAACAGUCAACCAGUGCUCCAAACCUAGUUUCUCAGCUCAGGUAUCGUCGGUCGGUACUGAUUUGGAUAGGUAUGCCGCCGUUGGAAAUCAAGACGUUGAAGAAUUGGUUGUUGAAGCUAGGGAUUCAAAGGCAUAUAGUGUGAAUGGCGGCGUGAGUGGCGCUGUGGCGGGGAUUCUCUACAAAUGGGUGAAUUACGGGAAGGGAUGGAGGUCGAGAUGGUUCGUGCUCGAGGAUGGAGUGCUAUCGUAUUAUAAGAUUCAUGGACCUGACAAGAUUUUGAUGAGUCCGGCGAGGGAGAAGGAUGUUAGGGUGAUCGGAGAGGAAUCUUUGAGGUACAUGAGAAAGGCCAAUUGGAGUAGUAAUCGACUCGGUUUGAGCGCCGCUGCAGCCGCCAGACAGUGCAAACCAUUCGGCGAAAUCCAUUUGAAGGUUUCAUCAGUUCGAGCAAGCAAAUCAGAUGAUAAAAGGCUUACCAUUUUCACUGGGACAAAAACUCUACACUUGCGAUGCGUAUCAAGAGAGGAUAGAGCAGCAUGGCUCGAGUCACUGCAGGCUGCUAAAGAUCUUUUCCCUAGAGUGUUGACGAGCAUUGAUUUUUCACCUUAUGAAGAUGUUGUUUCUACUGAGAAAUUAAAACAGCGCUUAUUGCAGGAGGGCAUUGGUGAAGCAGUCAUCCAAGACUGCGAGUCAAUUAUGCGCUUAGAACUCUUUGAGUUGCAAAAUCAGUUGAAGGCUCUUCGACAUAAACACUUAAUGUUGUUAGACACAUUGAGGCAGUUAGAGACAGAGAAAAUAGAGCUGGAAACUACUGUAGUGGAUGAAACAAAGGAGCGUGAAUCAUAUUGUGGACAGGCGAAUAGAAGAUUUAGUGAUUUCUACUCUGUCAUGUCUGAGGGCAGUCCAAGUGAUUCUGAAGUUGAUAAUGAAAGUCAAGAGGGACCAGAUGUUGAAACAGAUGAAGAUGAUGGGACAUUUUUUGAUACAAAUGACUUUUUCUCUUCUGAUGCUUUAAGAAGUGCCUCCUAUAGAAGUAGGGAAACUAUGGGAAAUGCAUGUGUAUAUGAUAACCCAUUUUUGUCUGAUAACUUACAUGGGGCAUUUGUGAAGGAAAUCAGGACAAUCCAAUAUCCAUUUGUUAAAAGAAGAGAUAAUUUGCCAGAACCAAAGGAAAAAGAGAAGCCUGUUGGCCUGUGGUCAAUUAUUAAGGACAAUAUUGGGAAGGACUUGUCUGGAGUUUGUCUUCCUGUUUAUUUUAAUGAACCACUCUCUUCGCUACAGAAGUGCUUUGAGGAUUUGGAAUAUUCAUACUUGGUUGAUCGAGCGCUGGAAUGGGGGAAGCAGGGGAAUGAAUUGAUGAGAAUUCUGAACAUUGCAGCUUUUGCUGUAUCUGGCUAUGCCUCAACAGAAGGACGGCAGUGCAAGCCCUUCAACCCUCUCCUAGGGGAGACCUAUGAAGCUGACUAUCCAGAUAAAGGGCUUCGUUUUUUCUCUGAAAAGGUAAGUCACCACCCAAUGAUUGUUGCUUGUCACUGUGAGGGAAGAGGCUGGAAAUUCUGGGCAGACUCCAAUAUCAAAGGGAAGUUUUGGGGGCGGUCUAUUCAGCUUGAUCCUGUUGGUGUCCUUACCCUGCAGUUUGAGGAUGGUGAGACCUUCCAGUGGAGCAAGGUCACCACUUCUAUAUACAACAUUAUACUUGGAAAACUAUAUUGUGAUCACUAUGGCACCAUGCGCAUCAAAGGUAGUGGCAAUUACUCUUGCAAGCUCAAGUUCAAAGAGCAGUCCAUAAUAGACCGAAAUCCUCAUCAGGUUCACGGAUUCGUACAAGAUAAUAGAACUGGAGAGAAGGUAGCAAUGUUAGUGGGAAAGUGGGAUGAAGCAAUGUACUAUGUACUAGGUGAUCCAGCUACAAAGCCAAAGGGGUAUGAUCCAAUGACAGAAGCUGUCUUGCUUUGGGAAAGAGACAAAUCAGUUACCAAGACAAGAUACAAUCUCACCCCUUUUGCGAUAUCCUUGAAUGAACUGACUCCUGGCUUGUUGGAGAAAUUGCCUCCCACUGACUCAAGGCUGAGGCCAGAUCAGAGACACCUCGAAAAUGGGGAAUAUGAGUUGGCAAAUGCAGAGAAGUUGAGACUUGAACAGUUACAAAGACAGGCAAGGAAGUUGCAGGAAAGGGGUUGGCAGCCAAGAUGGUUUCAUAAAGACGGCGAAGGUUGCUAUCGUUAUAUAGGGGGGUACUGGGAAGCAAAAGAGAGAAAGAAUUGGGAUGGAAUUCCUGAUAUAUUUGGCCAAAGUAGUGAUUCACCUUUACGUUUAGUUGAAGAAUGAUUGCCUUGGUUUCUCUAUUAAACUUUUGGUGGCAUCUUUCUAUUUCAUUAUACAAUUUCCUUUUCCCUUCGUUUCUCUCAUUCCUCAUCAUUGGGAACGCAAAAUGUGAUUUUAGAGUUAGCUUUUUUUGGCUUAGUUACAAUUUACAAGUUUCUCUUAAGUGUAAUCAUAUACUGAUGUAGGAAAUUAGCUUGUCUUAGAAACUUUGCAGAGGGGCAAUUUAUUUUUGUCCAUACUCUUGCAAACAGAAACUAUUUUCUUGUCCCCCCAAUUUUCUAUUAUUUUGCUUAGAUAUUGUAAAAUCUAUCUGAGACUUGUCCCUUUGUUCUCAAGGGGAAAGUAAGUUGAUGUAUUCUCUUGGUAUUCUUCGUGCUUGAAACAUUGAUCUUUUAUAUAUAUUGAUGACAAAAAUGACAUGAACGACGCAAAACUAUAUUUGGUGAGAGUAAAUGUUAUGAGAAAGCCUCUUUUUUUUUAAAAAAAAGGAAGAUGGUAUGAAAAUUUGCGUAUCCUGAUCAUUUCCACGCUUUCUUCCCGCGAAACUGUUUGCCAGAGCGGCUCUGUUUUCUCUUUUUGUCUUGCCGUGAUCUAGCUGCCCUGGCUCUCUUUGCAGCUGAGGGCAUCACCUUUUCAUGUUGCUUCUGUCUAUUACUCUUGCCUCCAGUCUUUUUCUGUUUUACAGCAGUUCGAGCUUGGUACUUUCCUGUAGCCUCCCUUCCUGCUCUUACCAGUGCCAACCUUUCUUCCUUGGUUAGCUUCUUCCGCACAUGAGCUUCAAGCUUAGCAGGAUCCAGCCGUUUAACACUCAGUUGAUCAGAGCUUGGAACUUUAAACCCUUGUCGAGCUAAGGCAAUUUUAGUUUCCUUCUUUGCCUUCAAUUCCUUGAUCCUUUGAAAGUCUUCAUUAGAAAGAAUACCGUCUUUCAAUUCUGUGGUGGUGUGAUUCAACUUUUCUUCUGCCAAUCUCUUUAGAGCUCGAAGACUUGUGUCAGCAGCAAUAAGUUGUCCAUUGAAAUCAGAAAACUUCCUCUUACUAGCUUUAGAUUUGUUAACUUCUAUCGUGCCCCUGUCAUCACUUUCACAAGAACUCUUUGCCUUUCCAUGCUCAUCCUCCUCCUCCUCAUCAUCAUCGUCAUCGUCAUCGCUGAUAUUGCUGUCAUUUUCAUCAAUAUUGUUAUCACCAUCUCCAUCAAUUGAAUCAUCUUGUAAACCGUCAUUCUCACUUCCAGUAUCAUCACUGUACAUCGGAUUUUCUUCAUCAUCACUGGCAGUAAUCAUCUCACCAUUAUCACUAUCAUCAUCAAGUGCACUGGAUAUCAAAUUAUCAAUAUCAUCACCAUCCUCAUUAAUUUCAUUGUGGUCCUCCUCCUCAACAUCAUCAUCUUCAUCAUCAUCAU